RNAcentral lists this ribosomal RNA (248 nucleotides) under uncultured crenarchaeote. RNAcentral describes it as "partial 16S ribosomal RNA". It matches the Rfam family "Archaeal small subunit ribosomal RNA", at positions 478 to 726 of the family's 1478-position model. Lineage: Archaea; Thermoproteati; Thermoproteota. The record is from RNAcentral.
AGCUCUCCGAGUGGUGUGGAUGUUUAUUGGGCCUAAAGCAUCCGUAGCUGGCCAAGUUAGUCCCUUGUUAAACCCACCGAAUUAAUCGUUGGAUCGCGGGGGAUACUGCUCGGCUAGGGGACGAGAGAGGCAGACGGUAUUUUCGGGGUAGGGGUGAAAUCCUAUAAUCCCGGGAAGACCACCAGUGGCGAAGGCUGUCUGCUAGAACGCGCCCGACGGUGAGGGAUGAAAGCUGGGGGAGCGAACCG